Molecule: long non-coding RNA, 416 nt
Organism: Corapipo altera (White-ruffed manakin)
Lineage: Eukaryota; Metazoa; Chordata; Aves; Passeriformes; Pipridae
Exons: 3
Source: RefSeq, a predicted model, not a curated record
CAGGGAAAGGUCAGGGCUUGGAAGGCAUCAUGUAAAUGAGAAGGAGGCAUAAGGAACUGUAGAAGAAUGGAGAAAAAGGUCAAUAACCAGCACUAUUUCAUUGCCUGAAGAGUGAAUCAUGUCAGCAAACUGCCGGGAAACACAUCCCAUAGGUUUCCGGAGUGACUGAGCAUCCGGGGAAUCCUCUUUAGGGAAGAGCAUUGAUCCUCCUGAGUUUUGGGCAAGCAGCCCAUGCUGGUCUGAACACCCUCUGUAGCUACAAAGGUAUGUGAGGAUACAGUUUCCAGCUAUGACACUGUUAAAAAGACAUGUAUACACAUCUUGUAGAAAACCAGAAAAGUCUUUGAACUGCAGCUUCCAGGUCCAGGUCCAGUUCCUCAGCACCAUGGUGAAAUGACACCUUGCUCAGGUGAGUA